Molecule: long non-coding RNA, 1131 nt
Organism: Onychostoma macrolepis
Lineage: Eukaryota; Metazoa; Chordata; Actinopteri; Cypriniformes; Cyprinidae
Exons: 2
Source: RefSeq, a predicted model, not a curated record
UUGGUGAAAGCCGUGUCCCUUAAAAUUUCGUCUUGUUUCACGUGUUCGUUUGUAUGGCCUCACCGCUUGCAACUACUUCUUCACGGAAGCUUCGCGUCGAGAUCUGAUCUGACCCUGUCCGGGUUUAUUCUGCCAUAACAAACAUUUUACGUCGUUACGACAUUAUGCUUAACGUAAAUAACACUUUAAUGGCAGAAAGCUAUUGUUUCGCUUCAGAAUAUAUUUUACAAGGCGUAUAAACCACUUGUUUAACUUUUAUGGUAUCAUUUUGUCAGUUUUUGUGCCUGGCAGUCGUGAAAGUCGUUCACUGAAAAUCGUUUAGCAGCUUGUUUAUUAUGUUUAUUAACAUGUUGCAUCCCACAAUGGGUUUGACUGGGCCAACAUGAGGACACCGUUUUAAUUUUGGGGAGUCCUGUGAGAUACAGCAGCAGGUGCCACAGUCGGCACCAAAAGUCCACCAUCCUUAAACUGAUCGAUCCUUCCGCUUUCUCCCUCAUCUCUGCAGGUAUACAGGCUUCAACAAGAGCGCCUAAACCUGAUUAUGUUCUUUGACGCAAGUGAUUGUGACACACACACAAUGAACCUCUUUCACGUCUGUGAAAAAAUGUGAUUGUAAGCUCUGUAACUGAAGAGAUAGUCCAAUUUCUCAGUUGCAUAAAUUAUAUUCAAUAAUAAUAAUAAUUUAUAUAUGUGUGUGUGUGUGUGUAUAUAUAUUAUUAUUAUUAUUUUGAAUAUUAUCCUGAACCCAUGAAAUCACUUUAAAAGUGUUGCCACCCAAAAGUUGUCAUCAUUUACUCAUCUCUGUGUCCUUCCAAACCUGUAUGACUUCCUUUACUGUGGAACACAAAAUAAUUUUUUUUUUUUUUAAAUGUUGGAAACAUGUCUAUAAGAUCUCAAACAUUUAUUUUGUUAAAUAUUCUUUUAAAAAUUAAAAGAAGUUCACAAAAAAAUAGUUGAUUCUGGGUUUAAUAAAUGAAGACAUACACGUUACAUAUGCAGCAAAGUGACAUACUGGCACAUACUGUAUCUCUACCCUCCCACCUGCCCUAUGCUUUUGAGGACAACAGGUUCUAAAUUAGAGUCAUUUUAUCAUGCUACAGAUAUAAUUUUGGCAAAAAAAAAAAAAAAGAA